GACGAAGGGGGCUAGCGUUGUUCGGAAUUACUGGGCGUAAAGCGCGUGUAGGCGGUUGUUCAAGUCAGGUGUGAAAGCCUUGAGCUCCACUCAAGAAAUGCACUUGAUACUGGAUGACUAGAGGACCGGAGAGGAUAGUGGAAUUCCCAGUGUAGUGGUGAAAUACGUAGAGAUUGGGAAGAACACCAGUGGCGAAGGCGGCUAUCUGGACGGUUUCUGACGCUAAGACGCGAAAGCGUGGGGAGCAAACAGG
Molecule: ribosomal RNA, 253 nt
Filed under: uncultured bacterium
Lineage: Bacteria
Description: partial 16S ribosomal RNA
Rfam family: Bacterial small subunit ribosomal RNA
Source: RNAcentral